Molecule: unclassified non-coding RNA, 199 nt
Filed under: plant metagenome
Description: partial contains small subunit ribosomal RNA and internal transcribed spacer 1
Rfam family: Eukaryotic small subunit ribosomal RNA (bases 1-46)
Source: RNAcentral
AAGUCGUAACAAGGUCUCCGUUGGUGAACCAGCGGAGGGAUCAUUACCGAGUUUACAACUCCCAAACCCCUGUGAACAUACCUUAAUGUUGCCUCGGCGGAUCAGCCCGCGCCCCGGAAAACGGGACGGCCCGCCAGAGGACCCAAACUCUAAUGUUUCUUAUUGUAACUUCUGAGUAAAGCAAACAAAUAAAUCAAAA